UACGGGGGGGGUAAGCGUUGUUCGGAAUUACUGGGCGUAAAGGGCGCGUAGGCGGACAUCUAAGUCAGGGGUGAAAUCCCAGGGCUCAACCCUGGAAUUGCCUUUGAUACUGGACGUCUCGAGUUCGGGAGAGGUGAGUGGAAUUCCGAGUGUAGAGGUGAAAUUCGUAGAUAUUCGGAGGAACACCAGAAGCGAAGGCGGCUCACUGGCCCGAUACUGACGCUGAGGCGCGAAAGCGUGGGGAGCAAACAGG
RNAcentral lists this ribosomal RNA (253 nucleotides) under uncultured bacterium. RNAcentral describes it as "partial 16S ribosomal RNA". It matches the Rfam family "Bacterial small subunit ribosomal RNA", at positions 524 to 776 of the family's 1533-position model. The record is from RNAcentral.